This 356-nucleotide long non-coding RNA is filed under the name Crocodylus porosus (Australian saltwater crocodile). RNAcentral describes it as "lncRNA (ENSCPRG00005001935.1)". Lineage: Eukaryota; Metazoa; Chordata; Crocodylia; Crocodylidae. The record is from RNAcentral.
CUCCCCUCUCCGGACAGUAAAGAGGUCAAGGAUCCUGGCAUAAGACCAUAACGAGGCACAAGGCAUGGCUGCUUAAAAUCAAGAGAGUGUUCCAGCAAGAUGAUGGAUGGUCACAGCAAUAGCAAAGGAGAUCCAAAUGAAAACUCUUCACAUCAUGCAUUGCAGUGCUGACUUCAGCUGCAUUUCUGGAUUCACAUCAUCAAGGACAAGGUUGAAUAAAGCUUUCCCCAUUGAAGGUCUGGUACAGAGUAGGAGUUGUUCUCCUUCACUUCUAGGCAAGUGUUAAAAGAUGUCUCUUGAUGGGUUCUGAGUGGAAGUGCUUCUUUUCAAAAAAGUGCUAUAAGCCUGGAAAUGAA